GAAGGCAGUUCACUGGCCGAUUACUGACCCUCAUGGACGAAAGCGUGGGUAGCGAAAAGGAUUAGAUACCCUUGUAGUCCACGCUGCAAACGUUGUGUACUAGGUGUAGGAGGAUUUUACCCCUUCUGUGCCUGAGCUAACGCCGUAAGUACACCGCCUGGGGACUACGGCCGCAAGGCUAAAACUCAAAGGAAUUGACGGGGACCCGCACAAGCGGUGGAGCAUGUGGCUUAAUUCGAGGCAACGCGAAGAACCUUACCUGGACUUGACAUCUAGUGACCGUCUGUGAAAGCAGAUUUCCCUUCGGGGCGCAAAGACAGGUGCUGCAUGGCUGUCGUCAGCUCGUGCCGUGAGGUGUUCGGUUAAGUCCGGCAACGAGCGCAACCCACGAUAUUAGUUACCAUCAGGUGAUGCUGGGGACUCUAAUAUGACUGCCCGUGUAAGCGGGAGGAAGGCGUGGACGACGUCAAGUCAGUAUGGCCCUUAUGUCCAGGGCUGCACACGUGCUACAAUGGCCAGUACAAUGGGCUGCAAAACUGUGAGGUGGAGCAAAUCCUUAAAACUGGUCUUAGUUCGGAUUGUAGUCUGCAACUCGACUACAUGAAGUUGGAAUCGCUAGUAAAGGCGUAUCAGCUACGACGCCUUGAAUACGUUCCCGGGUCUUGUACACACCGCC
RNAcentral lists this ribosomal RNA (676 nucleotides) under uncultured bacterium. RNAcentral's name for it is "bacterial SSU rRNA". It matches the Rfam family "Bacterial small subunit ribosomal RNA", at positions 717 to 1394 of the family's 1533-position model. The record is from RNAcentral.